UGAGCAACCUGCCCUUGACCCUGGAAUAACAGCUGGAAACAGCUGCUAAUACCGGAUAUGACCUCCGAUGGCAUCAUCUGGAGGUGGAAAGCUCCGACGGUCAAGGAUGGGCUCGCGGCCUAUCAGCUUGUUGGUGAGGUAACGGCUCACCAAGGCAACGACGGGUAGCUGGUCUGAGAGGAUGGCCAGCCACAUUGGGACUGAGACACCGGCA
This 214-nucleotide ribosomal RNA is filed under the name uncultured bacterium. Its description in RNAcentral is "partial 16S ribosomal RNA". It matches the Rfam family "Bacterial small subunit ribosomal RNA", at positions 118 to 332 of the family's 1533-position model. The record is from RNAcentral.